AAAAAAAAUACGACGACAGUCCACACAUACCCAACACAGAAAACUAAGAGUGAGCAACACAAACCCCACAAAAAACUAAAGACUGGACAUCACUAACCCUACAAAAACUAAAGAUUGUGCAACACGAAACCCACAAAAAACUAGACUGUGCAACACGAACCCCACAAAAACAUAAGACUGCAACACGAAUCCCACAAAAAACUAAAGAUUGAUCAACACGAGCCCCACAAAAAACUAGACUGCAACAAGAACCACACAAAAAAAACUAAAGACUGUGCAACACACACCCGUACCAAAGACUAAUGACUCCCCAAAAAAAUGUGUUCCAACUAUCGAAAAUAACAACAGAUAAUGCA
This 356-nucleotide long non-coding RNA is filed under the name Mytilus galloprovincialis (Mediterranean mussel). Lineage: Eukaryota; Metazoa; Mollusca; Bivalvia; Mytilida; Mytilidae. The record is from RNAcentral.